UACGUAGGGGUGCAAGCGUUGUCCGGAAUUAUUGGGCGUAAAGAGCUCGUAGGCGGUCUGUCGCGUCUGCUGUGAAAACUCAGGGCUUAACCCUGAGCUUGCAGUGGGUACGGGCAGACUAGAGUGCGGUAGGGGAGACUGGAAUUCCGUGGUGUAGCGGUGGAAUGCGCAGAUAUCAGGAGGAACACCGGUGGCGAAGGCGGGUCUCUGGG
RNAcentral lists this ribosomal RNA (212 nucleotides) under uncultured bacterium. Its description in RNAcentral is "partial 16S ribosomal RNA". It matches the Rfam family "Bacterial small subunit ribosomal RNA", at positions 524 to 733 of the family's 1533-position model. The record is from RNAcentral.